RNAcentral lists this ribosomal RNA (432 nucleotides) under uncultured bacterium. Its description in RNAcentral is "partial 16S ribosomal RNA". It matches the Rfam family "Bacterial small subunit ribosomal RNA", at positions 29 to 506 of the family's 1533-position model. The record is from RNAcentral.
AACGAACGCUGGCGGCAUGCCUAACACAUGCAAGUCGAACGAGACCUUCGGGUCUAGUGGCGCACGGGUGCGUAACGCGUGGGAACCUGCCCUUAGGUUCGGAAUAACUCCCCGAAAGGGGUGCUAAUACCGGAUAAUGUCUUCGGACCAAAGAUUUAUCGCCUUUGGAUGGGCCCGCGUUGGAUUAGCUAGUUGGUAGGGUAAAAGCCUACCAAGGCGACGAUCCAUAGCUGGUCAGAGAGGAGGAUCAGCCACACUGGGACUGGGACACGGCCCAGACUCCUACGGGAGGCAGCAGUGGGGAAUAUUGGACAAUGCGCGAAAGCCUGAUCCAGCAAGGCCGCGUGAGUGAUGAAGGCCUUAGGGUUGUAAAGCUCUUUUACCCGGGAUGAUAAUGACAGUACCGGGAGAAUAAGCUCCGGCUAACUCCGU